This 902-nucleotide ribosomal RNA is filed under the name Bryochoerus intermedius. Its description in RNAcentral is "eukaryotic LSU rRNA". It matches the Rfam family "Eukaryotic large subunit ribosomal RNA", at positions 1140 to 1855 of the family's 3401-position model. Lineage: Eukaryota; Metazoa; Tardigrada; Heterotardigrada; Echiniscoidea; Echiniscidae. The record is from RNAcentral.
GUAAGCAGAACUGGCGCUGCGGGAUGAACCGAACGUUGAGUUACGGCGCCUGAUUAUAAACGCUCAUCAGAUACCACAAAAGGUGUUGGUUGCUAUAGACAGCAGGACGGUGGCCAUGGAAGUCGGAAUCCGCUAAGGAGUGUGUAACAACUCACCUGCCGAAGCAACUAGCCCUGAAAAUGGAUGGCGCUCGAGCGUUUANCCUAUACUCAACCGUUGUGGCACACGCUACGGUCAUAUAAUAUAUAUCCGUAUUUGAUGCUGUAAGGCAUAAGCGUGCUAGUCAUGCCUCAACGAGUAGGAGGGCNGUAGCGAUAUGCUUGGAAGGCUUAACGGGCGUAAGCCGGGCUGGAGCUCGGUGGUCCAAUCUGGUGGUAGUAGCAAAUACUCAAGCGAGAACCUUGAGGACUGAAGUGGAGAAGGCUUCCAUGUGAACAGCAGUGAACAUGGGUUAGUCGAUCUUAAGGCAUCGGCGAAGGCCGUUCAGAAGCGGUGUCGGUUUUAGUGGCAAAAACGUGCAGAACUUGUUUUUGUGCGCUUUUGUGCUCGGCUUUAGGUGCUUGCUCACUCUAAAGUCGCCGCACCUGCCGAAAGGGAAUUGGAUUAAUAUUUCCAAACCUAACAGCGGAGAUUGGUUGCUCAUUAGGCUGUUGCAGGACUUUAUUGCUCUUGUAGCAGUCGGGGUAACGCGCUGCGGUAACGCAAACGAACUCGGAUACGCUGACUGGAGUCCCGGGUUGUCUUUUUUUCAUAAGGAAUCGACUCCAUGGAAUUGGUUCAGCCAGAGAUAUGGAGAUGAUGUCCGAAAAGCAUCGCGCUUCUUGCGAUGUCCGGUGCGCUUCAAGCGGCCCAUGAAAUGCCGAGGGAGAGAAUGAUUUUCGUGUUAGAUCGUACCCAUAUCC